GCUGGUGUGAUGGAAUUGGCAGACGUGGCAGACUCAAAAUCUGUUGCCAGUAAUGGCGUGUGGGUUCAAAUCCCACCACCAGCACCA
This 87-nucleotide transfer RNA is filed under the name Clostridiaceae bacterium. RNAcentral's name for it is "tRNA-Leu". It matches the Rfam family "tRNA". Rfam says of the family: Transfer RNA (tRNA) molecules are approximately 80 nucleotides in length. Their secondary structure includes four short double-helical elements and three loops (D, anti-codon, and T loops). The record is from RNAcentral. Lineage: Bacteria; Bacillati; Bacillota; Clostridia; Eubacteriales; Clostridiaceae.